RNAcentral lists this non-coding RNA (87 nucleotides) under uncultured Dysosmobacter sp. RNAcentral's name for it is "Glycine riboswitch". It matches the Rfam family "Glycine riboswitch aptamer". From Rfam's summary of the family: This family represents the bacterial glycine riboswitch. Glycine riboswitches usually consist of two metabolite-binding aptamers domains with similar structures in tandem. Lineage: Bacteria; Bacillati; Bacillota; Clostridia; Eubacteriales; Oscillospiraceae. The record is from RNAcentral.
ACGAAACUCUGGAGAGCAGCAAUGCACCGAAGGGGCAACCAGGCGAGGGUCGCCGGGAAUCUCUCAGGUCACAGAACAGAGGCGUAA